Molecule: ribosomal RNA, 253 nt
Filed under: uncultured bacterium
Lineage: Bacteria
Description: partial 16S ribosomal RNA
Rfam family: Bacterial small subunit ribosomal RNA
Source: RNAcentral
UACGAAGGGGGCUAGCGUUGUUCGGAAUCACUGGGCGUAAAGGGCGCGUAGGCGGCUUUAUAAGUCGGGGGUGAAGGCCUGUGGCUCAACCACAGAAUUGCCUUCGAUACUGUAUGGCUUGAGACCGGAAGAGGUAAGUGGAACUGCGAGUGUAGAGGUGAAAUUCGUAGAUAUUCGCAAGAACACCAGUGGCGAAGGCGGCUUACUGGUCCGGUUCUGACGCUGAGGCGCGAAAGCGUGGGGAGCAAACAGG